This 380-nucleotide unclassified non-coding RNA is filed under the name uncultured Armatimonadota bacterium. Its description in RNAcentral is "uncultured Armatimonadetes bacterium contains 16S-23S intergenic spacer region". Lineage: Bacteria; Bacillati; Armatimonadota. The record is from RNAcentral.
UCCGGUUUACACCGGCGGUCUCCUGUGAGUGCCCAUCUUUCAUGCUGGUAACACAGGACGAGGGUUGCGCUCGUUGGCGGACUUAACCGUACACCUCACGGCACGAGCUGACGACAGCCAUGCAACAAGUGUCUUCAGGUCUCCUUGUGGGAGAGGGCCCCCUUUCAGGGGCUUACCAUCGAUGUCAAGUCUGGGUAAGGUUCUUCGGUUAGUAUCGAAUUAAUCCACAUGCUCCACCGCUUGUGCGGGUCCCCGUCAAUUCAUUUGAGUUUCAACCUUGCGGCCGUACUCCCCAGGCGGGAUACUUAAUGCGUUAGCUGCGGCACGAGAGGGGUCGAUACCUCUCACGCCUAGUAUCCAUCGUUUAGGGCGUGGACUAC